GGGGAUUUAGCUCAGCAGCAUAAGCGCCUGUCUUGCAAGCAGGCGGUUGUGAGUUCAAUCCCCG
RNAcentral lists this transfer RNA (64 nucleotides) under Cavia porcellus (domestic guinea pig). It matches the Rfam family "tRNA". Rfam says of the family: Transfer RNA (tRNA) molecules are approximately 80 nucleotides in length. Their secondary structure includes four short double-helical elements and three loops (D, anti-codon, and T loops). Further hydrogen bonds mediate the characteristic L-shaped molecular structure. tRNAs have two regions of fundamental functional importance: the anti-codon, which is responsible for specific mRNA codon recognition, and the 3' end, to which the tRNAs corresponding amino acid is attached (by aminoacyl-tRNA synthetases). tRNAs cope with the degeneracy of the genetic code in two manners: having more than one tRNA (with a specific anti-codon) for a particular amino acid; and 'wobble' base-pairing, i.e. permitting non-standard base-pairing at the 3rd anti-codon position. Lineage: Eukaryota; Metazoa; Chordata; Mammalia; Rodentia; Caviidae. The record is from Rfam by way of RNAcentral.